UGGGCACAAUGUCUCGUGUGUAAUCCCAGCUCGCAUCUAUAAUUCCAGGCUGAAGCAGGAAGAUCACUUGAGUCCAGAAGUUUUAAGACGAACACAGGCAACAAAGUGAGACCCUUCCCUACAAAAAACAUUCUAAAAACCAAAUAACUAGCCAGGCAUAGUGGCAUAUGCCUGUGGUUUCAGAGGUUAAGGUGGGAGAAUUUCUAAAGCCCAGGACAUUGAAGCUACAGUGAGCUAUGUUGAUACCACUACACUCCAGCCUCAAUGACAGAAAUAAACCCUUUCUCUUAAAAAAUAAAAAUAUAGCACUUUGGGAGGCCGAGGCAGGUGGAUCACGAGGUCAAGAGAUCAAGACCAUCUUGGUCAACAUGGUGAAACCCCGUCUCCACUAAAAAUACAAAAAAUUAGCUGGGCAUGGUGGCACGUGCCUGUAAUCCCAGCUACUCAGGAGGCUGAGGCAGGAGAAUUGCCUGAACCCAGGAGUUGGAGGUUACGGUGAGCCAAGAUUGCGCCAUUGCACUCCAGCCUCGGUAACAAGAGCGAAACUCCAUCUCAAAAAAAAAAUUAAAAAAUAAUAAUAAAAAUAAAAAGGAAAUGCUAGAAAUUGAAACUCUGCAACCAGAAUUUAAAAUGUCCUCAACAGGUUUAUCAGUGAACUGAACACAGUCAAGAACAACAGUCAUUUUGAAGAUACGUCAGUAGAGACUUCCCAAACUACACACAAAGAGAAAAAAUGGGAAAAAGAAGAGAAUAUUCAAGAAUUCUUGUAGCAUGUAGCAUUCACACAAUGGGAAUGCUAGAAAGAGAAGGGAAAAAAAUGCAGGUUCGUCUCCAACUCCUGACCUCAAGGGAUCCUUCUGCCUCAGCCUUUCAAAGCACUGGGAUGUCAGGUGUGAGCCACCACUCCUGGCCACAUAUGCUUCUCUCCAGGAAGAAAAUCUUGAUAAUAAGAGAAGAAUAAGUACAGCUUUGAGACAGGACAAUACCUUCAGGAUAUGAAGGCCAUGAUCAUGUAAAAUUCUCCCUGCUUCAGUGAAAGUCUGUCAUGGAGCCCAUUGAAAUCUCAUCCUUGAUGGCUUUUUGCUCAUUGUGUUUCAAAGUGGACACGUUAGGCCACUGCACCAAGGAGUCUAGCAAGAUUACAUGUUCGUUUCCACGGACACCAAUCAGUAGCAGAAGACAGGAAAUAAACAAGAUCUAAGCAUAAAG
RNAcentral lists this long non-coding RNA (1209 nucleotides) under Callithrix jacchus (white-tufted-ear marmoset). RNAcentral describes it as "lncRNA (ENSCJAG00000071625.1)". Lineage: Eukaryota; Metazoa; Chordata; Mammalia; Primates; Cebidae. The record is from RNAcentral.